UUAACAAAGACGUUUUAUUAUGGUCGGAAGAGACGAUCAGUCGGUUACAAGAGAGAUAAGAAAGUGCGACAGAGAAGAGGCCGGUAACUCGGAGAGCUACCGGAAAAGUACAAACAACGGCAAGAUGAAGCAAAGGUGAAAACCCUAAUCUAGCCGCCAAGUGUUAGUCAAAUGAUUUCGGAUCCCUUUCUCGUUCCUCUUCCUUCUCCUUAUAUAGUCCUCUGAUGUGUCGUUCUUGACCUAACUUAGGUCGUCUUCGUGGGCCUUCCUUAUUGGGCCGAGAGGCCCGCAUUCAUCCG
RNAcentral lists this long non-coding RNA (299 nucleotides) under Brassica rapa (field mustard). Its description in RNAcentral is "long non-coding RNA (BRAP_LNC006975)". Lineage: Eukaryota; Viridiplantae; Streptophyta; Magnoliopsida; Brassicales; Brassicaceae. The record is from RNAcentral.